CGAUCCUUUCAUAGAAGUAGAGGUACGCUCUGUGAAAUGGGAAGAAGAGGCGGCUGCGGUGGAUGCGCAGGAGCAUAUCAUCGUAGUUUUCCUCUUUGAACGCUCCGGUGCAGUAGGAACAAUGGAUAUUGGCUUGACGCGCGAAGCAGUGAGGGUUCGUAAUGGGAAGGUUCUUCAUAAUUUCGGUCGCCUUUCGAUAUUUUUCCAUAAAAACAGUGUCGGUGAUUUUGUGUACAGGACGGCGGACGCGGAUUUGGGAUUCGUUGAACACUGGGAAUUCGAAGUCUUUGGCAGUAGCCAGUAACUCUUCCUCCGUGUAAGAUGGAAUUCCGGAGCAACAGUUCACGGGCUGGUAGUCGUCGGAGAAGGACGCGAAACAUUGAGUGACGUUCGGGCCAAUGAAAAUCGGGUGAGGUGGAUCAACCUGAACUUGAGGAGUGGAUGAGGUUGGAGGAAGAGGGAACACAAAGUCUAGGACAUAUUGAGCUUGCUUGUCAAGAAAGUCCGGCAAUG
Molecule: long non-coding RNA, 513 nt
Filed under: Zostera marina
Lineage: Eukaryota; Viridiplantae; Streptophyta; Magnoliopsida; Alismatales; Zosteraceae
Description: long non-coding RNA (ZMAR_LNC005629)
Source: RNAcentral